Molecule: long non-coding RNA, 3013 nt
Filed under: Nicotiana benthamiana
Lineage: Eukaryota; Viridiplantae; Streptophyta; Magnoliopsida; Solanales; Solanaceae
Description: long non-coding RNA (NBEN_LNC042463)
Source: RNAcentral
CAAACUCACCUUUUUCCCAAUACCCCGAGGAAAAAAGGGAAUAUAUAUAUUUUUUUUAUAACUGAAAGAUCCCCGCGGGCUUAUAUCGCACAGGAGCUUAGCCCUCUACCUUUCUCUACUUAAGUACCAUGCUUUUGCUUACAUCAUGGUUCGAGCCUAAGUUGCUCGGACAUGGGCGCGGGUAUCCGAUACGCGUGCGAAUCUAGAGAUCAGAUCUUCCGAGAUUUAAAUUCUAAAGUUCGGGAAUACGGAUCCUAGUACGGAUAGAGGUGCAAGAUCUGGCUGAAAAUAAUUCAAAAAAAAUAAAAAUACAAAAAUAUCUCUGAAAUACUUACGUAUAGCUAGUAAAGUGUAGAUUUUGUUUUUUAUUCUCAAGUUGUAGAUAAGUAAAGGAUUGAUUUUCUAGAUAAGGUAUGUUAUUUUAUUCAAACUUACCCUAGUUUUAGUUAUGGUUUCGAGAAUCAAAUUAUAUUCUCGUCUCGAAUUUUUCUGUCUGUCAUGGUCAAAGUACACAAAAUUGUUUGACCACAUCCCAUACGCACACCCAUAUUAGUGUCGCACGGAUAAAGCACCUAAUCUGCCGAGUCGAAGCAACUUAGGUUCGACCCAUGAUAAAGGCCAAAAAAAGAGACAUUUUCUUCCAGUGUAGUUUCUAUUCUUAUUUCCUAAGUUGUUAUAGCAAGCCAUCAUAGGCUCCACAUAGCAGAAAGACUAGCUUAACCAAACUAAAUUCAAUCUCUUCCCAACAGAUUAUUUGCUUCAAUGGGUGUUGAGCAAUGUCUUCCAAGAAAAUUCUUCUACGAACAUUCUUGACAACAUUCCUCUCCCAAACCCCCUCACUCCUCCAGAACCUCGCUCUGUGCCUCUCCCAUCCACCCAUCUUUUAACAGGAUGUCCUGUCCGAAGACACCGUAUUAUUUAUCAGAUGGUCAGAAUUGAGUCUCACUUUUGUUCUUCACCCCCAGAAGUGGAAACUGCCGUAAAAAUUGGUUUGAAUGGUGCAACAGCAAAAAAGACAUGUAGCUUCUAUGUGCAUAAUGGACAUGAGAACAAAUUUCACAGCGAAGAAGGAAAAUCCACUAGCAGAUCUUAACAUGGGUUAGUUACCUCCAUACGGAAGAGCUUGGUCGGUACAAUGACACCAAAUCCAGCUGAAGCUCGGACUAAUUCUUGGAAUUUCUGUAAAGACAAAUCUUUAUACGCAUUUUCUGUUAAUUUGUUCAGGCUUCCGGUACAAGCAAAAGCAUGGCCAUGAAUUCCAGCUUCUCUUAAUACCCGCAAUGGUAGAUCAAAAGAAAGGUCCGCAAAAGCAGUAACAGCAAGAUCUCCUCCCACAAAAUCCAUUGUGGAAGCUGCAUCAUAGCUCUCAUCACUGGAAUUCUCUACAACUUGCCUUCUAGGUUCAGCAGGUCCCAAUCCCCUGGUCUUGAAGCCCAAUAAAGAUGAUGGCCCCCCAAGUGCACAAACUGGAGAAGAAUUACCACCCAGAAAAAAUUUCUCAGGUAAAAAUAACAAUCGAAAAAUAUACUCUACAACUUGCCUUCUAGGUUCAGCAGGUCCCAAUCCCCUGGUCUUGAAGCCCAAUAAAGAUGAUGGCCCCCCAAGUGCACAAACUGGCGAAGAAUUACCACCCAGGAAAAAUUUCUCAGGUAAAGACGUAGGCAGACUUAAAAACCCACUUCCCCAUGGGACAGUUACACCAGCAGAAAUACCAAUGUUGAGAGCAGCAUUAAAAAAUCCCAGAGGUAAAGCAUAGCGGAAGUCCAACUCCUGCUCAGAAAUCCAUAAGUUUUGUUAUACUGUGGAUCUGAUAGUUCAGAAGUAUAUAUAUAGGUUCAGAAUCAGACUGUCAUAAUGGUGGGAAAUAUAUGAUUGAUAGAUACCAGACAAGAUGGCCAUAACAAGUUACAGAACCAUUCUACUGCCACUAGCAGUAAUCUAAAUGACAGUAAGUUAUAGAUUACAUCUGAAACAACAAAACAGAAUGGGUAGAAGGAAAAUUGCAGUUAAAUCUAACUAUUCAACAUCAACAGAAACCUAGAUAUCACACUAGUAACAGAAGUUAUUUAAGAAAAACUUAAAAGAGGUCACACAGAACGAACCUGACGGAGAAAGCGUAACCCCCGGUGAUCUGGUAGGAGGCCACCAAUUUGAGAAGACGAAAGAAAGGCAUAUCCUCGGGUUGGUCUCAGAGGAGAGUUCCUCCUAUCAAUUUUAAAUGUAUACUUUAGAGCGGAAAUUAAACUAUGCCCAAGCUGUCUCCUCACUGCUCUCGAUGACAUUUGUGAUGGGUCAGUCAAGGCUCGCCAAUAGAGACUGUAUGUCAAAUCAUGGCUUCUGGAUGACAGUAGGCCAAGAGAAAGUCCCAAAGCUCGUUCUUUGUAAGAAGAGAACUUCAGCCAAUCUUGAGAAAGAAGAGAUAAUCGAGCUGUCACAGGGGUGAUCAAUCUUUUGAAUCUGGGUAGACACACACCAGCACUAACCUCUGAAGUCAGGUCCCAGCCAUAAGCCAAAGACCCAUCCCAUAUGUCCCCAUAACCUAACAAGUUUUUCAGCUUCAAUGAACCUUCAAGUGACCAAGCUCUAGCCUACAGAAGCAAAUUGAAGUUUUAAUCAAAAUCCAAGAGAAAAACAGCAACUGAUGCAAGCAUGCUGCUUCUAUAAUUUCAAAGCAUGUUCACACACCAUGUGAGAGAACCCAAUAUACUGUUCACCAAUAGCAAGAUCACAGAACAGAUUUUAGUUACACAUGCAAACUGAAGUGAAAAAAAUAUAACAGCUUGAGUCUUUUCUCUCAUCUUUCUCUAUAGUAUCAAACUUUGGUUAUUGACUCUCUUCUUUAAAUAUUAGGUCUUUGGCAAAUAUCCCGAGAGACACUUAUUCUAUUUUUAUCCUUCAUAAUAUCAGGGUUUGCUAAUGAGGCCCUUAUCUCAAAAAUGAAUUUCCAGUCAAAGAAUGAAGGUUGCGGAGAUGAGGAUGCUUAGGUGGAUGUGUGGGCACACCAGGCUGGANN